RNAcentral lists this long non-coding RNA (4211 nucleotides) under Eptatretus burgeri (inshore hagfish). Its description in RNAcentral is "lncRNA (ENSEBUG00000017096.1)". Lineage: Eukaryota; Metazoa; Chordata; Myxini; Myxiniformes; Myxinidae. The record is from RNAcentral.
GUCACAAUUUCAAACCGAUCUUCACCAAACUUCACCACAUGGUAGAAUUUGCCAUAAGGAAGUGGCCUAUUGUUUUUGAGGUCAAAAGAUCAAGAUAGGUGAAAGGUCUCAACAACUUAGGUGAGAUUUAUAAAUCCUCAGUUUUCAUCUGAUUGACUUGGAAUUUGAAGAGCAUUUAUAUUUCAGGUGAUUGAAUUCAACCAGCCAAUUAUUUUUUAGGUCAAAUUUAAUUUAUGGAUUUUGCAAGUAUUGUGUGAUACAAACACAUCUUUCCUGUUUGUGUUUUGCUUGUUUGUGUGCAGGAUAUCUGAAGAAGUUGUGGACAGAUUCUGAUCAAAUUUGGUGGGCGACCGAACCUCAACAGGUGGUCGUGAUGUCCGACCCCCGACUGUACUGAGUGUGGGACCGACGACGAGUCGCCAUUGUAUGGACACACGUUUGUAUCACACAGUCACACAGCCACACGUCACAAAGGCGCACUCAUAUUUUUUUAGACAUUGUGGUUUCCGUUCCGAGGACAAGAUCGAAGACGCGUCAUGUUAUCAUUCCCAAAUAUGGGCAUGCAGCGGCGCGAGAUCUCGUCGCUCCUUGAAAUAUCGGUCCAAACGUCCAAAGUGGAACUUCUCACCAACAUCACCCGGACACGGUUCGCCGCGACGCCAAUUGGCACGAAAGUCCAAACUCUCGUUAGUUUCGAUAAACUUUCGUUUGGCACGACGUUGGGAGGGUGACGUCACGACGCGAGUGGAAAUGAAUGACGUCAGUCAUGUGAAUCGAAAUCCUCGCGACAAUGGUGUGGGGGAGGGGAGUUUCCAGGAGGGCGUGGCCUAUUUUUUGACAGGUUAACUAAGCCCGAAAUCAACGGGGAAUUGUUCUCAGAGUGUUUGAGAGCGUCGAGCCGGAUCAUGGUUUCUGUUGAGCUGUUCGUUUGCGCUUCGAGUCUCAUCAUCAUCACUUCGCUUUACCCAGGCGUCACUGUUGCAGAAGAUUCGCCAAGUCAAGAUGAAAUCAAGAAGCGCUGCGGAUUUACGCCGAAUGAAAUAUACGAUUGCAAGCAACAACGAUGCUUGAACGCAUCCGUUGUCUGUGCAGGAAAGUCUGAACAAACCUGGAUAGAAUGUCAAGCAGAAGUUUGUGCCAAUGCCAGAAGGACGUGUGAAGAGCCUCUGAACCAACAACUUUCCAAGUUUGAAAUGUGUUUGGCUGACCAAAUCAUAUUGGUGGACAUGGAUUGCCUGAAGAACAUGUCAACGUUGUCGCAUUUUCAAGAAUGUAAAUCCGAAGGUUACAACAGAGUGGAGUCCAAGUGUUUCAAAGACUCGUGGAAGAUGAAGUUCAUGGAAGAACAACAUGCACAAGAAUCGGAGGCCGACUGUGCUGUGGAGAAAUGCUACGAGAACACCGUAAAGUGCUUCCAAAGUCUUCUUCACGACCAAGUGGAACAGCCUAGUAAACACAGGAAGUUUGACGUCGCUCGCUGCACAUACGUCCAAAACGAAAUGUAUAGUUGUCACAAUACCCACUGCUCUUCUGAACUCGAAGACUGUCGGCAACAGGUGUCUCAUGCCGGUCUGGUUGUUUUCCUGGUACUGAGUCUCGGUUUCGGCAUGAUCGGCCUUGCAUUCUACCUGAAACGGAGAGGGAUAACUGUGCCAUAUGAACGACAGCGUGACCACGAUGUUGUGUAGCAGCUGCUUUUGUGAUGAAAAUCAAAAUCCACAAUCAAUUGUGCUGAAAAUAUUUAUUUAUAUUUGUGCUUUUUUUCAGCUAUUGCAUAAUUGAUGUUCAGUGUGUGUGUAAAAAAAAAAAAAAAAACCCCCCCCCCCCCCCCCCCCCCCCCCCCCCCCCUGUUGAACUAUUUGAAUCCCGACCCAGCUAUGGAUGUUAAGCUGGAGUACGUAUCUGCCAACAAUGGUUAUCGGUAGCAGUUUAAGAUCCCACAAUGUCUUCCAUAAAGAGUAGGCAAGCUAUCUCUCACACCCUGAACAAAUUAUAAACUCCUGCCACCUUCAAUUGACCACCACGCCUGGCUAUCCCAUUUGUGAAAGAAUGUCUUGGGCAAAAAAAAAAAAAACCUUUUCCAGACAAUCGCAGAGUAGUCCAAUUGUCGCCAUCAAAAUUGUCACAGCAUCAAGAUGGCCUAAAGGUACGCGCACUCGCCUCCACGCCAUUUAGCCCGGGUUUGAAUCCCGACCCAGCUGUAAACUGUCAUCCCGGUGAUUCAUCAACACGCUUGGAUUUACGUUAAACUGGUGUCCCGUCUGCUGGCAUUAAUUGGUGGAUGUUAAAAGCCCCACGGUGUCCUUCACGAAGAGGAGGCGAGCUAUCGCCGGCACCGUGGCCAAAUUCCUGCCCUAACAACCUUAGUUGAAGGUCAGGCCUGGUGAGCCGUUUUAUGAAAAAAAACAUGGGAAUAAUUGUGGCCGUUGAAGGAGGAGCUUGUUGCUCGUGAUAAUGUAAAUACAAGGCCAACAAUUUUUAUAAAAAACAUUUUGCAAUAAAGUUAUUUUCUAAAGGGUUGUCUUUGUUGUUUAUGUAAACCAUGAAGGUCCAUUUACAUGUAAUACUGGCAUGGAGGGGUUUACAAUGCAAGUUCACAAACAACAGGUAGAGUUUAGUCAAUCACCAUGGAUGAUGUCACAUUCCAUUAAACUGCAAAAAAAAAAAAGUUUCAACAUCUUACUUUAACAUUUGCAAAGAGAAAAAUACUUUCCUUUCUAUACAUAAAAUAAGAUUCCUAAUCAUGGAACAGCUUCAAUAGAAUAAAAAAACAACACAACGAGAGUAAACCACAAGGUUUCGGAAAACGAAUGAGAACCAAAGGAACGAGAACGGCACUUGCUAGAGUACAUAGUCUCACCUCACGGGCUCAUUCUGAACAAAAAUACCAUCGUAAACUGGACACGAUGGUCACAUGCAUUGCCAUCAUCCAUAGCUUUAUUGAAUACUAUAUGGAGUACCCGGCGUUUCCCAGGUGGACCUGCUGAACAUCCGCGCAAUGUAAAAUGUGACUUCAAGUCCUGAACUCUCUCUCCCCUCCAAAACCCCAAGUCCUCAUCCUCACCCUCCUCUCCCAACUUAAAGGCAUCAAUCUCCUCCCCACUCCAGGCCUUCAAACCCCCUCCCUAACACAACUCAACCCCCUCACCCCACAGAAAGUCCUCACGCCCACAAAAGCCUCAACCUCCCCCUCCCAACUCUGUUCGAGCUUUUCUCUCCAACCCCAUCUCUGUCCUCUCCUCACUCAUUAAAAGCAAACAGGCAUUUCUACAUUAAAACAGCAGAAUAUUUAACACUUUUCCCUCCCCUUUCAUGCCAUCGACGACUUCACAGAAACCGCGAUCGAAACAGCCAUGGCCCAUCACGGUCGCCUGUCCAACUCUCAAUCCUGUGAGAUAUGUGGAACCCCCGUGGAAUCGCAACUGCGAAGUGACCAUGAGACCCAAAACGAAUUAUCUUCAUCCUGAUGCAUAUAUACACUUUGUUAAAAGUAAAUAAUGACGGUUUGACGACGAUCCAUUCAGCCAUCUCUGAGAAUGGUGACACACAAACACCUCUCUUUUUGUAUAGAUUAGGAUAUUUAAUGAUCACUCUUGUGCACAUUAAGGCUAAAUUGCAUCAAUGAAGGUGAAUAUGGAAAAAAAAACUUCAAACUAUAUUCCCUAUGGCCAGUCGAUCAGUGUUGCAGUUAUGGAAGAAGGACCCUGGGGAGUGACAUCCAACACAUAAGCCAUGUGGGGAGUGACAUCCAACACAUAAGCCAUGUGCCCCCCCCCCCCCCCCCCCCCCCCCCCCCCCCCCCCCCCCCCCCCCCCCCCCCCCCCCCCCCCCCCCCCCCCCCCCCCCCCCCCCCCCCCCCCCCCCCCCCCCCCCCCCCCCCCCCCCCCCGGAGUGACAUCCAACACAUAAGCCAUGUGGGGAGUGACAUCCAACACAUAAGCCAUGUGGGGAGUGACAUCCAACACAUAAGCCAUGUGAGGAAUGACAUCCAACACAUAAGCCAUGUGGGGAGUGACAUCCAACACAUAAGCCAUGUGGGGAGUGAGCGAGGCUGCCCAGUCAACGAUGGCACAUGCGCACCAAUGGGAGGCAACGCGGCAGGGGUCAAAGUGUGCUGUGGCAAUCUCUGCUCCCAGACGCUCCAUCUGAGCACCAAUAAGUCAGUGCACGCUGGAGUUCAGUGCCUCUUUGACGCACCCAGGACCCUCCAG